This 465-nucleotide ribosomal RNA is filed under the name Vreelandella stevensii. RNAcentral describes it as "partial 16S ribosomal RNA". It matches the Rfam family "Bacterial small subunit ribosomal RNA", at positions 338 to 795 of the family's 1533-position model. The record is from RNAcentral. Lineage: Bacteria; Pseudomonadati; Pseudomonadota; Gammaproteobacteria; Oceanospirillales; Halomonadaceae.
CCUACGGGGGGCUGCAGUGGGGAAUAUUGGACAAUGGGCGAAAGCCUGAUCCAGCCAUGCCGCGUGUGUGAAGAAGGCCUUCGGGUUGUAAAGCACUUUCAGUGGGGAAGAAAGCCUUGGGGCUAAUACCCUCGAGGAAGGACAUCACCCACAGAAGAAUCACCGGCUAACUCCGUGCCAGCAGCCGCGGUAAUACGGAGGGUGCGAGCGUUAAUCGGAAUUACUGGGCGUAAAGCGCGCGUAGGCGGUCUGAUAAGCCGGUUGUGAAAGCCCCGGGCUCAACCUGGGAACGGCAUCCGGAACUGUCAGGCUAGAGUGCAGGAGAGGAAGGUAGAAUUCCCGGUGUAGCGGUGAAAUGCGUAGAGAUCGGGAGGAAUACCAGUGGCGAAGGCGGCCUUCUGGACUGACACUGACGCUGAGGUGCGAAAGCGUGGGUAGCAAACAGGAUUAGAUACCCUGGUAGUC